GCACAAGCAGCGGAGCGUGUGGUUUAAUUCGAUGCUACACGAAGAACCUUACCAGGGUUUGACAUACAAGUAGUAGGGAAAGGAAACUGGACCGACCCUUCGGGGAGCUUGUACAGGUGGUGCAUGGUUGUCGUCAGCUCGUGUCGUGAGAUGUUGGGUUAAGUCCCGCAACGAGCGCAACCCCUGUGGUUAGUUGCCAGCAAGUAGCGUUGGGCACUCUAGCCAGACUGCCGGUGAUAAACCGGAGGAAGGCGGGGAUGACGUCAAGUCCUCAUGGCCCUUACAUCCCGGGCUACACACGUGCUACAAUGGCAGGUACAGAGGGCUGCAAAGCCGCGAGGUAGAGCGAAUCCCAGAAAACCUGUCUCAGUCCGGAUUGAAGUCCGCAACUCGACUUCAUGAAGGCGGAAUCGCUAGUAACCGCGAAUCAGCAGGUCGCGGUGAAUACGUUCCCGGGCCUU
Molecule: ribosomal RNA, 461 nt
Filed under: uncultured Latescibacterota bacterium
Lineage: Bacteria; Pseudomonadati; Candidatus Latescibacterota
Description: bacterial SSU rRNA
Rfam family: Bacterial small subunit ribosomal RNA
Source: RNAcentral